Molecule: ribosomal RNA, 468 nt
Filed under: uncultured bacterium
Lineage: Bacteria
Description: partial 16S ribosomal RNA
Rfam family: Bacterial small subunit ribosomal RNA
Source: RNAcentral
GACGAACGCUGGCGGCGUGCUUAACACAUGCAAGUCGAACGGAAAGGCCCUGCUUUUGUGGGGUGCUCGAGGGGCGAACGGGUGAGUAACACGGGAGUAACCUGCCUUUGACGUUGGGAUAACGUCAGGAAACUGGGGCUAAUACAGGAUAGGAGCGCCUGCUGCAUGGUGGGGGUUGGAAAGUUUCGGCGGUUGGGGAUGGACUCGCGGCUUAUCAGCUUGUUGGUGGGGUAGUGGCUUACCAAGGCUUUGACGGGUAGCCGGCCUGAGAGGGUGACCGGCCACAUUGGGACUGAGCUACGGCACAGACUCCUACGGGAGGCAGCAGUGCGGAAUAUUGCACAAUGGGCGGAAGCCUGAUGCAGCAAAGCCGCGUGCGGGAUGACGGCCUUCGGGUUGUAAACCGCUUUCGCCUGUGACGAAGCGUGAGUGACGGUAAUGGGUAAAGAAGCACCGGCUAACUACGUG